AGAGGCUGUCCUGAGCUCUGUAGGGUGUGGGAUCUGAGGUAUAAUACCUCUUUCAGUCCCAAUCCCAUCGAAGAUAAAAUGUAUGUGGCCUGGGUACAAGAUCACGUCAUUAUGCCACAUGUGUCAUGUGGAGUGUGGGAGCAGCAUGUACCAUAUUACGCAAGGCUGCAUUAUGAAGACUAGACUACGUGGUGGGAGUUGUGCUGAUAGCAAGUGGGGGAAGGUUGUGCUGCCCCUUUACUCAGUACUGGUAGGUUUGGAGUGCUGUGACCAUUUCUGGGCUCCCCAGUGCAAGACAGAUGUAGACAUGCUGGAUUGAGUCUAAUAAAUGGAUGUGAAGGUUGAGUAUUUGGACCACCUAACGUCUGCUGCUCUUCAGUAUGGAAAAGAGAAGGCUUGGAGAGAUGUUAUCAAAACAUUUAAAUACCUGACGGGAGGAUGAAAAGAUGAAUCCAGACUCAAGCUUGUGAUAUCCAACAAAGGGGAAGAGUCAGUGGGCAAAACUGGGAUAACAGAUUCUGUUUAAGCAGGAAAAAAAAAAAGAGGGUGACCAAAUGCUGGAGUAGAUGGCCUAGUGAGCAAGCGGAACAGUGCUGGAAAUGCUCAAAAUCCAAAUUGAUGAUGCAGCAUACUUUGAUCUUGUUUUGAGCUGGGUUUGUGUAUUAGACAUUUCCAGGCAUCCCUUCCAGCUGACUGAUAAAACAAGUCAGUAGAGUCAAUAUCUUUAGUACAGAAUUAACACUAAUUUACUAGAGCACGUGUAACGACUGCAUGGAAAGUCACAUUAAUGUUUGUAGUAUCUACAUUGUCAUCUCUUCAUUCUGCUUGAUUUAGUUUGAACUUUUUAUAGUUUCCAAGUAUCUGCCCACCUUUUAAACAGGCAAGAAAUCUGUCUUAAAUUAUUUACACUAAAACAGCAUUCAUGAGAAAGGUGUGAAGAGCUGGCAUGGUUCCUAUAAAUAUAUAAAAGCAUAAUAUCUGAUAUAAAAUGCUGUUAUCAUUUUAACCUGUGAAGAUAAAGUGUACCUGAAACCUAGAAAUCCAGCAUGUCUGAAACAACUUAUUUUUCAUGAAUAUGACUAGAUAUCAUAAGCAAAUUAAAAUAAAACACUUAAUGAAACAAGCUGAAUAAACAAUAUGUAUUAAAUGUGAUCUCAUUCUUUUCUGGGAAGUAGGGCUAAGACUUUCAAAAAAUGCUUCAAUGUCAAUAUUAUAUCAACAGGCAUGCCUUAUAAGAAACAGGAAAAGAGUACUUUUCUUCUAUAUCAGUAUUCAUACAAUCUGUUUUAUUAAUUUAGCUGCUGUGAUGUCAGUUAAUUUCCUGUAGGCUAAUAUUUCCCGGAAAGCUAUUUUUUCCUUCUUGUUUUUCAUGUAGCCACUAAGAAUUAAAAAUAAUUCAUUUAAAAUGCAUUGGUAUUUGCUUUGCAAUAACAAUUGUACUUUAAAAUAUUUUUAAUUACUAUUAGAAUUAAAUCAGAAAGAUCAUGAAAUACUCACUCUGUAAGUACUACCUGCGCCACCUGGUGUUGAACAUCUUAAUAUCAAUGCUACAUUAACCUAUAGUGUAUUGCUCAAUUUUUGUUAGUCUGCAAUAAACACUG
Gallus gallus (chicken) is the source of this 1601-nucleotide long non-coding RNA. The record is from Ensembl. Lineage: Eukaryota; Metazoa; Chordata; Aves; Galliformes; Phasianidae.